Molecule: ribosomal RNA, 597 nt
Filed under: uncultured Bacillota bacterium
Lineage: Bacteria; Bacillati; Bacillota
Description: bacterial SSU rRNA
Rfam family: Bacterial small subunit ribosomal RNA
Source: RNAcentral
AGGGGUUUGUNCAUGGCUCAGGAACGAACGCUGGCGGCGUGCCUAAUACAUGCAAGUCGAGCGGAGAUUUNCAAAGCUUGCUUUUCAAAUCUUAGCGGCGGACGGGGUGAGUAACACGUGGGCAACCUGCCCUUGAGACGGGGAUAACUCCGGGAAACCGGAGCUAAUACCGGAUAACACAUAUCUUCGCAUGAGGAUAUGUUAGAAGGUGGCUUUUAGCUACCACUCAAGGAUGGGCCCGCGGCGCAUUAGCUAGUUGGUGAGGUAACGGCUCACCAAGGCGACGAUGCGUAGCCGACCUGAGAGGGUGAUCGGCCACACUGGGACUGAGACACGGCCCAGACUCCUACGGGAGGCAGCAGUAGGGAAUCUUCCGCAAUGGACGAAAGUCUGACGGAGCAACGCCGCGUGAGUGAUGAAGGUUUUCGGAUCGUAAAGCUCUGUUGUUAGGGAAGAACAAGUACCUGUUGAAUAAGCAGGUACCUUGACGGUACCUAACCAGAAAGCCACGGCUAACUACGUGCCAGCAGCCGCGGUAAUACGUAGGUGGCAAGCGUUGUCCGGAAUUAUUGGGCGUAAAGCGCGCGCAAGGCGGUU